Molecule: ribosomal RNA, 253 nt
Filed under: uncultured bacterium
Lineage: Bacteria
Description: partial 16S ribosomal RNA
Rfam family: Bacterial small subunit ribosomal RNA
Source: RNAcentral
UACGAAGGGGGCUAGCGUUGUUCGGAAUUACUGGGCGUAAAGCGCGCGCAGGCGGUCCUUCAAGUCAGAGGUGAAAGCCCAGAGCUCAACUCUGGAACGGCCUUUGAGACUAGAGGACUUGGGUACGGGAGAGGUGAGUGGAAUUCCGAGUGUAGAUGUGAAAUUCGUAGAUAUUCGGAAGAACACCAGUGGCGAAGGCGGCUCACUGGCCCGUUACCGACGCUCAGGCGCGACAGCGUGGGGAGCAAACAGG